This 262-nucleotide ribosomal RNA is filed under the name uncultured bacterium. Its description in RNAcentral is "partial 16S ribosomal RNA". It matches the Rfam family "Bacterial small subunit ribosomal RNA", at positions 524 to 776 of the family's 1533-position model. The record is from RNAcentral.
UACGUAGGGUGCAAGCGUUUGUCCGGAAUUAUUGGGCGUAAAGAGCUCGUAGGCGGUUUUGUCGCGUCUGCUGUGAAAAACUCGGGGCUUAACUCCGGGCCUGCAGUGGGUACGGGGCAGACUAGAGUGCGGUAGGGGGAGACUGGAAUUCCUGGUGUAGCGGUGAAAAUGCGCAGAUAUCAGGAGGAACACCGGUGGCGAAGGCGGGUCUCUGGAACGGUACUGACGCUGAGACGCGAAAAGCGUGGGGGAGCGAAACAGG